GCUGGGUGCAGUGGCACGCUCUUGUAAUCCCAGCAGCUUGGGAGGCUGAGGCAGGAGGAUCUCGAGUUCAAAGCCAGCCUCCAGCAACUCGGCGAGACCCCUGUCUCUA
RNAcentral lists this small RNA (109 nucleotides) under Marmota monax (woodchuck). The record is from RNAcentral. Lineage: Eukaryota; Metazoa; Chordata; Mammalia; Rodentia; Sciuridae.